CCUACGGGGGGCAGCAGUGGGGAAUAUUGGGCAAUGGGCGCAAGCCUGACCCAGCAACGCCGCGUGAAGGAAGAAGGCUUUCGGGUUGUAAACUUCUUUUGACAGGGAAGAGCAGAAGACGGUACAUGUCGUAUAAGCCACGUCUAACUACGUGCCAGCCGCCGCGGUAAUACGUAGGUGGCAAGCGGUGUCCGGAUUUAGUGGGUGAAGGGGGCGUGUAGCCGGGCUGACAAGUCAGAUGUGAAAUCCGGGGGCUAAACCCCCGAACGGAAUUGGAAAUUGUUGGUCUUGGGUAUCGGAGGGGCAGGCGAAAUUCCUGGUGUGGCGGGGAA
Molecule: ribosomal RNA, 332 nt
Filed under: uncultured bacterium
Lineage: Bacteria
Description: partial 16S ribosomal RNA
Rfam family: Bacterial small subunit ribosomal RNA
Source: RNAcentral